GACGAACGCUGGCGGCAUGCCUAAUACAUGCAAGUCGAGCGAACAGAUGAAGUGCUUGCACUUUUGACGUUAGCGGCGAACGGGUGAGUAACACGUAAGGAAUCUACCUAUAAGCGGGGGAUAACAUUCGGAAACGGGUGCUAAUACCGCAUAAUAUCUUCUUCCGCAUGGAAGAAGAUUGAAAGACGGCUCUGCUGUCACUUAUAGAUGACCUUGCGGUGCAUUAGUUAGUUGGUGGGGUAACGGCCUACCAAGACGAUGAUGCAUAGCCGACCUGAGAGGGUGAUCGGCCACAUUGGGACUGAGGCACGGCCCAAACUCCUACGGGAGGCAGCAGUAGGGAAUCUUCCGCAAUGGGCGAAAGCCUGACGGAGCAAUGCCGCGUGAGUGAAGAAGGCCUUCGGGUCGUAAAACUCUGUUAUAAGAGAAGAACAAAUUGUAGAGUAACUGCUACAGUCUUGACGGUAUCUUAUCAGAAAGCCACGGCUAAUUACGUGCCAGCAGCCGCCGCGG
RNAcentral lists this ribosomal RNA (513 nucleotides) under uncultured bacterium. Its description in RNAcentral is "partial 16S ribosomal RNA". It matches the Rfam family "Bacterial small subunit ribosomal RNA", at positions 28 to 523 of the family's 1533-position model. The record is from RNAcentral.